RNAcentral lists this long non-coding RNA (36040 nucleotides) under Physcomitrium patens. RNAcentral's name for it is "long non-coding RNA (PPAT_LNC001816)". Lineage: Eukaryota; Viridiplantae; Streptophyta; Bryopsida; Funariales; Funariaceae. The record is from RNAcentral.
UAUCUAUUUCUAUAAAAAACAAUGGCAUUUAUCUUCUUUCUAAGAUAUUCAUUAUUUUAUAUGGCUCAACAAAAUCCUAACUCUAAUAGAAUAUUAAUUAAACUCUAAUUAGACCAUAACAAUACUAAGCAGGCUUUAAUCAAAUUCAAAGAAAUUUCAAAGGAGUUACAAAGAAGCAAUAAAUAAUCUUAAAAAAAUAUUAGAAUGAUCACAAAUAUAUCCCAAAUACAUCUCAAUUCAAUCUUAAUUUAAUCCUAGUUAAAAUCCUAUUAGAAUUCAUUCAAACUUUAGACCAAAAACUAACUAAAUCUUAAAUCCUAAAAAAACUCAAAUAAGAUCCUAAAUCCUAAAUCAAACUUUAACCAAAUCCUAAACCAAAUCUUAAACCUUAAACCAAAUUCUAAACCUUAAAUCAAAUCUUAAUCCUAAAUCAAAUCCUUACUAAAUCCUAAGUCCUAAAUCAAAUCCUAACCAAUCAUAAAUCAAAUCCUAACCAAUCUUAAAUCAAAUCCUAACCAAUCUUAAAUCAAAUCCUAACCAAUCCUAAAUCAAAUCCUAACCAAUUUUAAAUCAAAUCUGAACCAAUUAUAAAUCAAACCCUAAAUCCUUAAUCAAAUCUUAAUUAAAUCCUAAUCCUAAAUCAAAUCCUAAUCAAAUCCUAAAUCCUAACCAAAUCCUAACCUUAAAUCAAAUCCUAACCAAAUCAAAAACUCUAAAUCAAAUCCUAAUCCUAAAUCAAAUCUUAACCAAACUCUAAUCCUAAAUUAAAUCCUAACCAAAUUCUAAUCCUAAAUCAAAUCCUAACCAAAUCUUAACCAAAUCCUAAACCAAACCCUAAAUUCUAAAUCAAAUCCUAGUAAUUCCUACAACAUAUUUAUACCUCAAUUACUAAUGAAUGAAUCAUUGAUCUUAACUCAAAAUUUGCAUGGUUUUUAACAAUUAAGUUGACAACAAGCACAAAAAAAUUUGAAAAUGAUCGAAAUAACCAAAUAGACGAUAGCCUCAAAAACAUGCUUGGAUAUUGGCCGGCCUCUUUCUCUGACCUUGAUGCCAAUUUCCAAGAGCCAAUAUCUCUUUUUUUCACCAUUUGAUUGAUCUCAAAAUUCUCAUACACAUAGGAAAAUAAGUCUUAUAUCCUCUUACAUAAAUUUCACUCCAAUCCAAAUAAUAGAUUGCAAGAAAUCUUAAAAAUCCUCACUGGACCUAAAAUUCUACUUUUUGAGAACUUGACCUAUUUAAACCUCAAUAACCCUCAAUUCAACUAUUAGAUUGAACUAAGAUUUACAAUACAUAUUAAGCACAAUUAUGAACAUUAAUCCACAAAAUUUCACUUGUAGAUCUAUUAGAAAACUCUUGAAAUACUUGAAACAUCAAUCUUAUUUUAUUUCACAAAAUCCAAAUCAUCCGAAAACAAUCUUGACUUUGUAAAGCUCUUACAAAGUCUUAACAACUCUAAAUCAUCCAAAACCAAUGCUCAUAGAAAUCCUAUCUAGUUUGCUAUCAAAUCCCACUCUCCGCUUUGCAAAAGAACCCUCGAGUUGCUGUAGGUGCUCAGCUUUGUGCCUGAAGGUCUGAUUUCGACCUAGGUUGAUAACCAGCCCUCCUUGGGUAUCAAUAUCUAGUUUUUUUAUGUAAUUUUUACUAGAAUUUACUCUUAACUUCUUCCUAAAGAUACUUAUAUUAUUUAUUUUUCCAAUCUAUUUUAUUUUGGCUUAUUUAUGGACCUAUAAAAUAAAUAGAAGUCACUUUUGUAAAAAAAUAGUACUACUACUAAAAGUUUUACAACCUUCCUAUCUUUUUAUCCAUAUUUUUUUACUUUAUUUUUUAAUUUGGUUCUUCUAUAAUAAGAUCCAUAUUAUCAUCUUUUACCAUAUAGUUGUAUUACAAUACGACAAUAUUGGUCUUUUGUUGUUCUUAAAUUUUUUUUUUAUUAUGUCUUCAUUAUUGAAUGUAGUUUAGAUAAAUUAUUUUUUAAAUAUUUUAUCACAAGAUUAUCAACUUUUGAGAAGUCAAAAGUAUUAACACAAUUGAACUUGCUUAAAAAAGGUUGAAUUAAUAGUCAAUAUUGAUUUUAUUACUCAAAGAUGAUAAUACUCUAGCUUUAAGAGAAUUAUUUUUUUUCAUCAAAAGCUACAUUUUCUUCAUUUGGUGUAAGUUAUAAAUAUCUAGAAAAGACCUUUAACAAAUCUUAUUAUUUUUUAGAUUGAUAAAUAAUCUUAAAAUCAAAGCUUCAUAAAGAUAUGCUCUAAUAAGCUUAAAAAUAAUUCAAAGUACAUGCUACCAUGAAAUACUUGAGGUUCUUUGAGAUUUGUGUAUACAAUGAUUGGAUUGGAAGUACCUUCUAAAUAAUAAUUUCAUUUUUUGAAAUAAAUAUAUAAUUAUAAAAAGCUCUUUAUUAUAGAUCUUGCAGUUGAUCUCAACUACUAAAAUUUUUAUGGAAUAAAAAGCUAUCAAAAAGAACUUGUCAUUUACUUUUGUUCAUAACACCACUACAUCAAUGAAAAAAUGUGAUGUUUCUAUUUUUAUAAAAGAUGUUUUAAAAAAGUCAUUAGAAUAUAAGAUUGGUGUAAAAAUAAAUAUUAUCUUUAACACUUUAAAAGAUGCUUUAGCUUCUUUACUUCACUUAAGUUUGUCUUUAUAUAUCAAAUAUGUAAGAAGAGUUACAACUUGUAAAUAGUUGUUGAUGAAAUUUCAAUAUUUAUUUAUAAAUUUUAAAAAAUAUUAUACAUUUCUUGUUAUUUUUUAAAUAUUUCAAUCUAUAGUAGUCUAUAUUGAAGAAAAAGAAGUCUAAAGGCUACAAAUACUUAGCAUCAGCAAGGAUUGCACUCUAAGAGAAAGUGUGGAGGAAGAUAAUUCUUACUUCCAACACUCUUUACUUAUAGGUGGUGGUUUGCGCACCAACGAGGCAACUUCCAUCCAUUUGAUAUUACAUCCAUUUCUACCUCAUCUUACUAAAGCCUCGGUACCACCACAAUAACUUACUUUAUCUCUUUGCUACCUUUUUACUAUUAGCAACAUACUAUGCUUAAACUUUAUGUGAUUGUAACUAAGCAAGUACUUGCUGUUCUUCAACACUCCCACUUUGCUAAUAUUCAAAAGGCUUUUAAUCUAAUCUUUAAAUCAAGUCAUGAUAUUUAUCCUUGAUCAAUGCCUUUGUAAGCACAUCAACAAGCAUGUCAUUUGUAGUACAAUACUUCAACCCUAUUAUUUCGUCUUCAAUCUUCUCUCGUAUAAAAUGAUAUUGAACAUCAAUGUACUUGUUCCUUGAAUGGUGUUUUGGAUUCUUGGCAAAUAUAAGACAUCCUUGAUUAUCACACAUAAUGAGAGUUGCUUCUAAUUGCACUUGUCCAAUGUCUUCUAAGAGUUGCCUAAUCAAACAUGCCACCAUUGUACAAUGACUUACUGCCAUGUUCUCUGCCUCCAUCGUUGAUCUUACAAUAGUAGGUUGUCUUUUGUAAUUCCAUGAAAUGGCUCCCACUCCAAUGAAGAACACAUAUCCUUUUAAGUACCUCAAUAUCUUGUUUACCAUUUUUUUUCAAUGGAUUGAUCCACCCUUAGAUAUGGUACCAUGCCCUUGGUAAUUGUUUCAAUCCAUACAAAGAUUUCUUUAAUUUGCAAACAAGAUGUUCUUUGCCUUAUUGUACAAAUCCUUGAGGUUGGUCCAUGUAGAUGUCUUCUUGCAAUUCUCCAUUCAAAAAGGCCGUCUUCACAUCCAUUUGGUGUAUUUCCAAAUCCAUUGCUACCCCAAUUGCUACAAUGGUCCUUAAAGUGGUGAAUUUGGCAACAGGUACAUAAGUCUCAUUGAAAUCAAUUCCAACAACUUGUGAAUAUCCUUUGGCAACUAAUCUUGCCUUGUGCCUCACCACCACACCCAUUGCAUCUCUUUUAGUCCUAAACAUCCAUUUACAACCAACACUAGAUCGGUUUGGUGGAAGAGGUGCCGAUUCCCAUGUACCAUUGUCUAUAAGAAAUUGGUACUCUUCUUCCAUAGCCUUCUCCCACUUGAUUGCAUCUUCACUCUUCAUAACAUCACACAAAGACAAUGGAUCAGCAAGAAGAGUAAUAUUUGCAUUUUCUUUACUUACUUGAUGGAAGAUGUGAUCCUUCCAUCAUUCGCCAUGUUGCCUUCUUUCUCUCAAAGGAAAUAUCCUUUCAUUGAUUGAAGAACAUUCACCUUGUUCUUUUCCAACUCUUAAACCUUAUCAUUUCUCACUCAAUGGUUGGAAGUCUUCAUCAUUAUCAUCAUCCCAAUCUUCAACAUCUUCAUUUUUUUCAUUGCUGGUCCUAUCAAUUAUAGAAGCCUUCAUCUUUUCAACCUUCUUUUGCUUUUCAUCUUCAUCAUCUUCAUUGACUUCAUCUUUUUGUUUCUUUGCUGAAUUCAAAGAUGUGUCCAUAAACACACCAUUACUCCCACUUAGACACAUCUCCAAGUGCUCACAAACACUCUUGUGCUCUAAAAACACAACAUCACGACUUUUGAUGAUCUUCUUGGAUUCCAAGCACAUUAGCAUAUAUGCCUUGGUACCUUCACAAUAACCAAGAAACACACACUUUGUAUCUUUUGCAUCAAGUUUGGACUUCAUACAAUCAGAUAUUUUUGCAUAUACAAUGCAACCAAAGGUCUUCAUAUGGGAAAUGCAAGGUUGUCUACCACUCCAUGCUUCUUGUGGUGUCAUUGAUGCAAGAACACUUGUUAGACAUUUAUUUCUUGUAUAUACUGCAUUCACCAUAGCUUCCGCCCAAAAUUCAUAGCCAAGGUUUUGAGCAUGUAACAUACUCCUUGCUAUCUCUACAAUGGUUUGAUUUGCCCUUUGAGCAACACCAUUUUGUUGUGGAGUGUAUGGAGUUGUGGUUUAUCUAGCAAUUCCUUCAUUCUUCAAAUAAAUAUCAAAUUGCUUAGACAUGUACUCACCUCCAUUGUCCGUACGUAGCACCUUGAUCUUGCAUUCACUUUGUUUUUCAACAAGUGCUUUAAACUCCUUAAACCUCCAAAAGCAUUCAUUCUUGGCUUUAAGAAUAUAGAUCCAAAUCUUUCUUGAAUAAUCAUCAAUGAAAGUGAGAAAAAACCUUGAUCCUCCAAUACUUAUAUUUUUCAUAGAUCCACAUACAUCUGAAUGGACAAUCUCCAGCAACUUGGUAGCAUGUGUUGCUACACUCCUUGGAAAUGAGGCCCUUUGUUGUUUGCCUUGUAUGCAUCCUUCACAUGUAAUUUUUUUUGCAUUUUGGCUUGUAUUUCCAAGAUCUAAGCCACUUACCAUGGUCUUGAGCUCUUUCAUGCUCUUCACAUUCAAAUGGCCAAGGCGACGAUGCGUUAUAUUCAACUUGUCUUCGUUUGAUAUAAACUCAACAAAUACAGCUACCUCUACUCCAUUCACCUUCUUACAAAUGAGGUAGUACAAAUUUCCGUCUUUCAAGCCUUUGAAAACCUUGUCUCCACUCAAUGAUCUUACAAAACAUCCAUUCAUAUCAAAUUGAACUUUAAAACCUUCCAUUACAAGUUUACUCACCGAAAGAAGGUUUUGCUUCAUCUUAGGCACAUGAAGGACAUUUUUGAGUCUCAUCCGAUUGGUUUGUCCAUUCACAACCACCUCCACCAUAAUAGAGCCAAUUCCAAUGGCUUCACAUGUACCACUAUCUGCCAACACCACGUUUGAUGCUCGAAUAGCUUCAUAAGUAUCAAAUGAACACUUAUAAGGUGUCAUAUGCUUGGAACAACCUAAAUCCACAAUCCAUCUUAACAUGGCAGCCAUAGAGGUCCCAUUUGUUGCCAUGAAUGCAUAAUCUUAUCUUCCAAACUCGUCUUGCAUACUAUUUGCAUUCUCCUUCUUCAUCUUUUUUCCUUUGUAGUAAUUUCGAGCAAAAUGGCCUAUUUUGCCACAAAUGAAGCAAGAUUUGACAUUACUUCGUUGAUUUGGAUAGUUGCCCUUGCCUUGACAUGAAUACAAUGCUGAAACUUCACUUUGGGGCUCCUUUUCUUUCUUCUUGGUUACUUCAUGGGCAAGUCUUGCCAUCACAUAGUCCAUUGUAAGUUCUUUUACCUUGAUGGAAUCCAAUGCCACAAUAAGGUAGUUGUAGGAUUCAGGAAGGCUCAUUUGCAAAGUCAUGACAAUAUCACUUUCUUCUACAGGCUUGUCAACAGUUGUUAGUUGGUUUGUAAGAUCCUUUACCUUAUUGACAUGAGCCAUGAGGUCUUCACCUUCUCCCAUCUUGCAAGUGAAGAACUUUCUCCUUGUAUAAAUGAUGUUGGAUAAGUUCUUACUCUCAUAGAUGUUGCAAAGAGUCUUCCAUGCUUUCGUUGGUCCUUUGCAAGAGAUAAUGUGAGAGAAGUUGGCUUCAUCCACAUUUGUUGCAAUCAACCCAAAAGCCUUCUUUUUACGAUGUUUGAACUCCUUCUUCUCCUUCAUAUCAGCAUCUUUGCUUGGAGCCUCUUCACUUUCAUCUAUAAUAUCCCAAAGAUCCAAAGAUGCCAAUAAAAGCUCCAUUUUGAUCUUCCAAUGGUAGAAAUUUUUACCUCUAAACUUCUCAAUAACUCUCAAUCCUUCACCCUCACUUGUUGCCAUGUCUAAAGAAGAGUUGUAUCAAAAAAGAUUGUAAGGAGAAGUCCUAAUGCUCUCAAAAUCAGCAAAAAAGUUUUGCUACCUUAGAAUCCCAGAAUCCUUCUUUGUGAACAAAUUAGUAUUUUAACUCUCAUAAACACUCUCAAAUUCACUUCUAAGACUUCUCACAAGUCUGGUGACCUUUCCAAAUCUAAAUUGUUACUCAAAUAUCUCUCUUAUAUUCAUAAAUCACCUCUCUACACCGAAAGAGGCCUUUUAAAGACAAUCAGUAAUUUUAGGACAUGAAAUUAUAAAGUAAGGUCACCAAAGAUCUAUCUCAGCAAUAGCACAAUGCAAAGUUUGCUUUUAGGUGAUAAACCAACCAACAACACCAAAAUGCUCUUAACAACAAAUAAGAGCAAACCAAGAUCUAGAUCUAGAUCUGAAUCUGAAAGUUAGGUACUUUUAAUGCCUAACAUCAACAAUAACAACUUGAUCUACUCUACACUUACAAAAUACUUCAAAGACUUCAAAAGACACUCAAGCAAAUGUAAGUGGGCCCAUAACCUAUUGAAGAAAAAGAAUUCUAAAGGCUACAAACACUUAGCAUCAGUAAGGAUUGUACUCUAAGAGAAAGUGUGGAGGAAGAUAAUUCUUACUUCCAACACUCUUUACCUAUAGGUGGUGGUUUGUACACCAACGAGGCAACUUCCAUCCAUUUGAUAUUACAUCCAUUCCUACCUCAUCUUAUUAAAGCUUUGGUAUCACCACAAUAACUUACUUUACCUCUUUGCUGCCUUUUUACUAUUAGCAACAUACUAUGCUUAAACUUUAUGUGAUUGUAACUAAGCAAGUACUUGCUAUUCUUCAACAGUCUAGACUUUCACAGAUUCCAUCAUGAAGCCAUCAUUAAAAAUGGUAUAUCUUGAGAAGUCACCUUAUUUAUUAUAAAAUAUACACAUUUCUAUCUUGGCAUAUAAUUAUGCAUUUCUAAGUUUUUGUAAUACAUGACAAAAAUGAAGUUCAUACUCUUCUAUAUUCUUAGAGUACAUUAAUAUAUUUUUUAGAUAAGAGAUAGUAGAUAGUAGCAAAAUCAUCAAGAAACUCUUAUAAAAUCAUUAUUCUUUAGAUAUUAAAAAACAACUGAUAUAUUUUUGAGUCUAAAAGGUAUGACAUUAUAUUUAAAAUAUACAUACCUAAUUCAAAUCAUACUCUUUCAUUCAUCUCUUCUUUUGAUGUUUAUCAAGUUGUAUGUUUUUCAUAGAUCUAUUUUUGUAAAGAUCUUUAUUUGAUUAAAUUAAUUAAAAAGUCAUAAAAUUAAAAAUAAAGGAUAUCUAUAGCUGAUAGUGAUCUUAUUGAGUCCUUAAUAUUUGCAAAGAUCCAUCUUUUUUCUUCAUAAAUAAGAUAGGAGUACUUAUUGGAGAUUUUGAAUGGUGUAUGAAAUUCUUAGCUAAGUUUUUAUCAAUGUAUUCCUUAACUAUAAUCAAUUUGUUUUACAAUAAGAUAAUGAUUGGUUCAAAUGGUACUUGAGGUCCUUCUUGAAGAUCAAUUGAAUAAUCAUUUAGAUGAUUUUUUGGAAAAAUAUUUUUAUUUUUUUUCUUAAAAAUAUCUUAAUAAUCUUAAUAUUGAUUUGAAAUGCCACUUAUAGUCUUUUCACCAUGAAAAAUAGAUGUGGCAUAUAUGGCAAAAAGUGACCAUUUUUUUGUAACAUGCAUGAAAGCUCUUGUAACUAUCAAUAUAUAUUUGAUUAUAUUAGACUUAUAAAUUUUUACUUGAUUGACAAAAUCUUGGCUUCAAUAAUAGCAAAAAUCAUGAUUAUAAGAAGUACAGUCUAUUUGAGGUUAUAAUUUUUUAGCUAUUACUCUCUUAAAAUAAUUGAUUAGAAAGAGAUUUAAUCAUAUUAAAUAUUACUAAGCUAUUAUGACCAUUAGUUUUUACAUAUAAAAGAAUAUUUUUAUAGGCAAAAUCUUUAAAAGACAACAAACGACCAUCUAUUAUUCUUACAUGAAAAAUUUUAAUUUUCUUGACUAAAGAUAUAAUUUGUAUCUAUAAAACAAAAUUUUUUUGACAAAAUUUGUAUCUAUAAAACAAAUUAAGGCUUUUGAAUCUAAUAAGACAAAGACUUUUUGAUUUUUUAGUCCUUAACAAACUUCUAUUAUGAAACAAAGUAAAGGAUCUUAAAAUAGAAUAAAAUCUUUAUUAUAUAUUAUAGAAGAUUUUAGAUAUAAGGUCUCUAUUGUAGUUAAAAAAAAUUGUUUAUGAUACAUUAUUAUCUUAUAUAACCAUGCUACUCAUUUUCUAAUUAUGUUGCUUCUUUGGAUAAUAUUAAAAAGUAUGUUUAAAUUAUCUAAUAUAUAGGCACAAACCUUCUUGAUGAUGUCAAGUCUAUUUUUGCUCAGUAAGGAAUUUCAAACUUAUCAUAUUAAUUUGUAUAGGCUUUGAAUUUCAUCUAUAAGCUUCCAAAAAUUUAAAAGAUAUUGCUAUGACUUGACUUAUAUCUCUUUCAAAGUGUCAAUUAUUGCAUGCAAUGGUUUAAGCAAUAAAUUACUUCAAUGUGUCUGCUUUUGGUAUUGUCAAUAAUAAAUCCUUGAUAUUAUCUUUUAAUCUAUACUAAAAUUAAUUGAUAAGGAAUUUUUUAUUUUAAUCUAUGUUGUAGGUAAGGUUUUCAAAUUUAGUAAUAUAUAUGGUGGCUAAAUGUAAUCUUAGUUAUAAAGAUAUAAAUUUAGUCUCUAUUAUGUUUUUAAUUACUUCUUCAAAUAUGGCCAUAAAAACUUUUACGAGUGAAUUCAAAUAAUAAAGUAAUUGUGAAUUAUUUUCUAUUAAAGGUGCAAAUGAAGAAAAAAUACUUUAAGUUAGAAGUGCACCUAUGGAUCCAACUUAAAUAAAUCCAUCAAAGUAUUGAAAAGGAUACAAUCUUAAAUAUAGGUUCACUAGUUAUAUAAAUCUUCAAAACUUUGAUCUUAUUUCAUAAAAAUUCUUUGGCAUAUUUAUCCUUGCUUCUUUUAUAUUUAUAGUAGUAGAACUUUUUGAAUUUAGUUAAGAAUUUGAUCAGCUUGCUUCUUAUAACUACACAACUUUUUGGCAUGGAUUUUGAAUGUUAUUAUUGAUUUUUUCUAUGGAUAUAAGAAUAAUACCUUCAUGAUUCAUGUUGAAAAUACAUAAAAUUUCUAUCUUUAGAGUAUCGACAAGCUUGUGAAGAUUUAUAAUAAUUAUAAAUUUAUUCUUAUUUUUGUUGAGAAUAAUAUCCAUAAAUUUUUUUUCUAAAGACAACUCAAACAAAUUCAAAAGUCAAAUUAGAGGACAAUAAUUUGCAACCUUUAAUAUCAAAAGAAUAUUUUUACAAAGAGAGGUAAUUUUUUUUAAAGAAAAAAUCAAUGUUAAAGAACUAAAAGUUAAUUUAAAGGUAGAUAGUCCAUAAUAUAAUAAUAGAAGUAGAAUAAUCCUGUAAUAAGGUAUAGAUAAGAUAUUUGUAUAGAGAUAGAUAGUUAGAACCAUGGAAAUUUUUAGAAUUGGGAUUAGGUUAGUGGACCAGGUAGGAUCCACCAUAAGACAUUCUAGAAAGAAUUUAGGGUAUUAAUUUAGGUAGGAUCUACCAUAAAACCUUGUAGAAAAGGCAUGGGUGGUUAUUUAGGUGGAUCCACCAUAGAACCUUCUAGAAGGAAUGUGAGGCAAUUAUCUAAGUGGAGUCUAUUACUUAGAUACAUUUUAGAAAGUCUAGGGUGUUAGAAUAAAGUAUAAAUAGAACUGGCCAAGUCCUUUUGGGGCAUCUGGUCAAGUAUGGCUUUGGACUCUUUUUCUAAAUACAAUUGGAUUUUUUAUCUUCUUAUUUUGUUCUAUUCUGUCUUAAUUUUGGUUGCUUAGUUUUGUCUUCUAUGGCCCAUUCUGUUUAAUUUUGUUCAAUUUUGUUCUGGUCCACUUUGUCCUACCUUGUGAUGAGGUUUUAUAUUACUGUAGAUUAGAAGGAUCUUAGAUAAUUGAGAUAGAUUAAUCUUGUUUCAAAUCCACUCUCUUCUAAAAGAAUAAAAAAAAGAAAAGAAAAGAAAAAGAGUUAGUUUUUUUCUCAAAAUUGUUAUGAGUCAUCAAAUUGACUCAUUUGUUGUUUUAGAACAAAAGAAUGCAUUGAGAGUACCAAUAUUGAAAUUGCAGUUGAAGAUUAGUCUAAAAUAGUUAAAUAAAAAAAUAGUAUUAAUAGAAAAAAUAUAGUUAGUAUAGAAAAUCUAAUAGAAAUUCUCAUAUAAAAGGUAUUUUAGAGAUAUCAAAUUGAUAUCUUUUUAUUAUCUUAAGAACAUCUAGAAAGAAUCUAAAAUAUUUGAGAUUCUAAUAUUAUAUAGUUUGUAUAUAAUAUAAAUAUAAUUUGAAUAUAUAAAAAAUAUAAUAUUGAUAUUAUAUUUAUAUAGUAUUGAUUCAAUAUACAUAAUAUAAUAUAAUAUAUGGAGUACAAGUAUAUAUAGUCGACUUUAUAUACAAAUUUUAAAUAAGCAAUAAUGGCAAGUUGAAUUUUAUUAUCUGAUUAUUAGGUGGUGGUUCUUAAGCAAUUUUUUUUUUCAUAUCAGGACUACAAGAAUCUCUACCAUCAUCACAGGUACUAUUGCAAUAGAGAUUUGGCUUAGACUUUAAUCUUCAUUUUGUUUUUUUCCUAUUUUAUAUUUUAUAUUUGAAGAAACUCCAAAUCUUAUUGAUAAUGCAGCCGAUCCUCCAUUAUUAUUUAAAUAUAGAUUUUUGGAAGGUUAAGUAGAAAGUCUUUGCUGUUAUUGUGCUAGAAAGUUGUUGGCAUAUUUCAAAGUAGUAUUGGCAAUAAGAAGUGGUAGUGUGGCUUUCCAUUGUUUACAUUGAAUCAUUGCCUUAAAUAAAUUAUGCAAUUGGUUGCAAAUCCUCAAAAAAAAAAUUGAAGCAAUUUUAUUACAUUGCCGUUUUUCCAUCCUAGAUAAUGUAAUUAAAGUUCUUUUUCAUUAUUCUCUUGUUAUUUCUUCUUUUAAAUUGGCUACAAUCGUCAAUGGCUAUAUUUGAUUUAUAUUGUACUUAUGUUUUAUAAAUAGUGAUGUUAUUUCUUGGAAUUGGAUUUGAUCAAUGUAUUUCUAGAAAAUAAUAUGUAAUUAAUUGUACUCAGAAAAGUCAAAAUUUUGGAGUAAGAAUCAUAGUGUAGGUGAAAGAAUAGAAGAUGCUGGAUUGUUGCAAUAUUGUGUAGAGUUCUUAUGGUAUUGCUUACUUUCAAGAUUGGAUUAUAUAUUCUUUUAAUCAAUAGUAUGACUAAUAAAUUUGUGUGGUAACAACAUAGGAGAAAAUUUGUUCUUUGUGGUGGCUCUACAAGUAAGCUAAAUGAGUUAAUGAGUUUCUUUGUUGCUAGCUACUCUUGCUUGGUUAGCAUUGUGAGAUUGAAGGAUCCAAUGUUAUGUGAUAACACAACUAUAUGGUAAUAAAUAAAAAUAUGAAUUUUAUCAUAGAAGAAUUUAGUAGAAAGAUGUAAUAAAAAAACAAAGAUAAAUCAUGAGAAGGUAGUAAAAUUUUUAGUUUUAGUAUUGCUUUUUAUAAAAGAAACUUUUAUUUAUUUUGUAUAGACAUAAAUACCUCAAAUCAAAGUAAAUAAAAAUAAAAAAAUAAUAAAAAAAUCUUUAAAAGAAAAUUAAAAAUUAGUUUAAAUAAAAUUAUUAUAAAUUAUCAAAAUAAUUUAUAUAGAGAAGACUGGUUGUGAACUUGGAUUGAAAUUAAAUUCGAAUGUACAAAACCAUGCACAUAUCGCAAUUUCAGGACUCUUUUGCAAAUUGGAGAGUAAGUUCUAAGAGUAGGCUUGAGAAGAAAUUUUAGAAAGUUUUUUUGAUAUCAUUUGGAUUAAUAUUGAGAUUUUGAGGAAUUUUUAAACUUAAGUAAAGUACUCAAAGGAUUCAGAUUUUGAAAAGUAUAAUAAGUUUCUAAGGUUGAAAAUUUUGUGAGUUUUGUAGCAUAUUUAUAAGUAAAAAUUUGGAAAUUUGUCAAUAUGCUUGUUGUAAAUGUGUGUAAUAAUUUGAAGUCAAUUAAGUGAUUAAAUUAAAGAAUAUGAGAGUUACUAUAGAUAAUGGCUUCAAAUUGAGAUUUAGAGGGCCAAUGAGUGUUUUUAAGAUAUCUGUCAAUUUAUUAGUUGAAUUAUUAUUAUAUAUAUAUAUAUAUAUAUAUAUAAUUUUAAUAGUAGCUAGACUUCUAAUAACUUUACAAAAUUUGGAAUAAGUUUAAUGGUAAAAUUAAGAGAUUUUGAUUCUAGAAUAUCAACAUCAAGGUUGAAAAAAGAAGCUGGCCAAGACUUGAGCAAAAUUUAGGAAUUAUUAUCUAUUUGAUAUGCACAAUCUUCUUCAAAUAUAUAUUUUUCUAAUUUUUAAUUUAGUUUUUAUAAAAUAUAUAGAUUUUGAAUCAAAAUAAAAAAUUUAAUUGUUACUUAUUGAAUUUUUAAUUUGCUAUAGAAUUUAUCCAAUAUUUAAGAUUCAAUUAGAUUUUAUUUAGAAUUGAAUUAGAAUUGAAUUAGGAUUUAGGAUUUUAUUAGGAUUUUAUUAGGAUUUUAUUAUAAUUUUACUUAGGAUUUGAUUAAGAUUUAUUAGGAUUUUAUUUAGAAUUAUGAUAAGAAUUUAAGUAAAAUUUAAUUUAAGAUUUAGUUAAGAUUGAUUAGGAUUUUAAUUGGGAUUAAAUUAGGACUGAAUUAGGAUUUAAUUAUAAUUUAUAUUUUUAUUAUUUUUUAAAUAUUAUUUAUUAUUUCUUUUAAAUUUUCUAUUUAUAGUAUUUUUUAAAGAUUAUUUUUAUUUUUUAAAGAUUUUAUCUCUAUAUUUUUUUUGGAUUUUUUUUAUUAUUUUUCUCUGAGAUUAAUUUAUGACUUCUUUGUGUUUCUUUUGUUACUUCUUUUAAAUUUAUUUUGGGUUGAUCAAAUUUUGAUUAAGAUUAUUAAAGUUUAUUUAAAGUUUAUUUGAUAUUCUAUUAGACUUGAAAGAAUUGUUGUUGCAUUUCUAUUUAUCUUCCAUAGUUAGAUGCCUAGUGCAUUUUAAAGUAAGAUUAUACGUAAUACAAUACUACUACAAGGUAUCUAUGUGUACAAAGAAGUAUUUCUUUAUUGUUGAUUAGCUAAUUCUUCUUUAGUUUAGAGUUCAAUAGAUCUGUGGCCAUAGCAUGGAAUUUAUCUAAUUUAAGGAGUUGCUUCAUUUUUAUUCUUCUUCUGGUUAUUACUACAAUAUAAAUUUUUCUUCUUUUGUUUAAGUGUUAUUAUAUAUCAAAGGUAUGCAAGGACGUUUUCACCAUGUAGGCCAAAUUACUUAAUAAUUCAUAUCUAGUCCAAAUUACUUAAUAAUUCAUAUCUAGUCCAAAUUACUUAAUAAUUCAUAUCUAGUCCAAAUUACUUAAUAAUUCAUAUUUAGUCCAAAUUCUUAUCAUACUUUACAAAGUCCAAAGAAUUUGCAACUCUUGUUAUUAUUGCAUUAGUUCAAAGGCCAACCACUAGUAUAAUUUUGACGUUGAAAUAGAAAUACAAUGUGCUUAGCAAAUUUUGAUUCUUUUCAAUAAAACUUAUUAUACAAAUAAAUGUUUAUACUUCAAGUACUAUCUAGCACAAGUGAAAGUUAUUGCUUUACAAAAAGUCAAUGUAGAUUAGGAUACAAAUUUUUCUUACUAUUUGGUAAUUGAAGUAAGUAUCUACAUUUACGUCAGUGGUUGUUGUAUGGAUUCUUAGCUUUGUUUGUGCUUUCAUAGAUUAAAGUUGGAGUCAUGCUGAAAAAUAGAAUAAUAUGUAAAAAUAAGGUGAAAUUUUAUGAAAGUUUGGACUAUUAUUAAAAAAAUAAAAAAAUAAAAAAAAUAAAAAAAUAAAAAAUACUUAUGUAAUUUAUUUAAAUUUGUAGUUUAAAUUUAGUAAUUAAAGAUAGAAGUUGUAGGAUUUAUUAGUAAGAAGUUUAAAAGGCUUUUGAAGUGAAAGGUAUAGUAUUUUGACUCCUAGAACAUACCAUAUGGGUGGAUAGGAUAAGUGAUAAAGGACUUCAUUUCUAUUAAUUGGAAGAUAUACUCAAUGGACUUUGAGAUGUUAACUGGGACCAUAUUGGAGUUUGGGACGACUUUAGGGUGACCUAUUUGAGACAAGGCAGACCAUUUGAGGGAAGGCAACCCAUUUAAAGUAUAGAGGCUGGAUUCAAAAAGCUGGUAUUUUGGGCUAGAAUUUGGGUAAAAAAAAAUGUGUAAUUUGCAGUAGUAAUGAGAGAGUUAUGGUUGUUUGAAGUUAGGAUGUGUUUUUGGUAUCUACUAUUACUCUUUUAAGCAUAUAGAGAGUUAUAGAAAAGCUUUGAAGAAUUGAAAAGUGAUAUUUAAAAUUUGACUUAAAAAAUUACAUUUUAUGUCAAAAUAUUGAUACAUUAUAAUCUAGAACAAAGGAGAAAGAGUUGUUGAAAGUUAGUAUUUAAAACUAGGAUUUGUAAGUGAGUUGUUUUAAUAGAGAUUUUGAUUUUUGCCAUAUCUUGAGUUUUUAGAUGAAUUUUUGGCUAAAUAUUUCCACAAAUGUAGAUAACUAUGUUGAAAAGUUGCAUAUGAAAAAUUUAUAGUAUUUGACCUUUGAAUUUUUGAAAUAUAAAAGAAUUAGUGCAUAGGUGCCUAGAAAUUGACAUGUUUAGCAUCUACUAGAGAUUAGGCAAUAUCUAAAGACUUGCAAUGAAUUUAUGGUUGAUUUUUUGUAUGGAAGUAAUUACAGAUAUAAGUUAACUUUUAGAGAAUUUUAAACCCACUUGGAUAAUUAGAUUAGAAGUUGUUGAGUGAUACAUAUACAAAAAGGAUCUCCAUAGGAAUAGAAGUGAUUUUAGGAUAUCUAGUUGCAUCUUGGGUAUUCUUGUACAUUCUAGACUUGUCUAUUUGAUGUAAUUGUCUUCUUGAAGAUAAGUUAUAAAUCAUAUUUGUGUUUUAUAAUCUUGCAUCUUUUUUGAGCAUUUAAUAGCAGUCAGAGGCCUAGCACUUUUUUGAUGCAACUAUCUCUACUACAAUAUUAGGCUAUAAGAAUGUUUAAGUCUUUGAUGUAGGAUAGCUUAAAUAUAAACAAAGAAGCGGUCAAGCCAAAGUGAGCAUUAGAAAGCAAGAAUAGAGGUAUUCAAUGAUUGAAUCAACUAACAAAGGAUUGUUAUUGGUAUUUUCUUAUAGUAAGAAUCUUAAUGAAAUUAUUAAAGAUUAGAGACUUUGAAACAGAUUGACUUGGAGUUAAAGUGGAAUCAUCAUUAAAAGGGUAUUUAUCAACGUUCUAAAGCAAUAAAGUAAAAAAGUGAAGCUUUAAGGUGUCCAAGCUAGAAGUACUUUUCAAUUUUGUCCAAAUUCAUUAUUAGUCUUUGUUAUUUGUAAAAAAAUCCAAUAAAUAUUGUAAAAUGAUAAUCUAUUAAUUAAAUAUCAUAAUUGAAUAUAAUUGAAUCACAAAUAAAUUUAAGAUUUAAGGAAAUAAUAAAUUAUGAAUGAAUUUUGAUUAAAAAUAGAUAAAUUUUUAUUUAUAAAUAAAAAUUUAUUUAUAGAUAAAAAAAUUUAUCUUAAAUAAUAUAAAAUAAAAUAUAUUUUAAAAAAUAAAAUAAAAUAAAAUAAUAUAAUAUAAUAUAAUAUGUAUUUUUUUAAAUAUAUAGAAUUUAAAGUAUUUUAUAUUAUUUAUUAGAUAUGAACUUAUUUUAGCUCAUAAUUAGAGAAUUUUAAAUUUUUUUGGAUAUAAAUUAAAUAAUAAUUAUAAAAUAAUAGAAUUAAUAGAUAAUUAAAAUUGUUACAAAGUAUGAUAGACUUCUAACUAGUAGAAAUUUAUUUUAGCUUAUAAUUAUUAAAGAUAUGAAUUUUGAACAAAUAAUUACUUAAUACAUUCUUCUAAGAUUAAAAAAAAUAGAUAUUCAUUCAAAAUCAAUAUAGUAUUGAAACUAGAAUGAUUAUUCUUAAAGAAAAAAAUACUAGAAAAUAUCAAAACAAGACUAAAGACUUGAAAGGUAUUGAUAAGAGUGAAGAAGGCUUCACUCUUACUUCUAUAUAUACUAUCUAACUAAGAGGUAUGUGGUGACAUUCUAUAGGAUCUCUAACAUGUAUUCAAUUUACAAAAUAAAUAUCAUAACUUGCAACAAAAGUUUUUUAUAUGUGCGCCAUAUGAUUAACUUGUAAUAUAAGUUAUCAAUAUGUGCAAUAUGUGGCUAAAUUAUUAGUGAAGUGUUCAAUCUAUGAAUCACCUAUAAACAUAUAUAAAGGUGAAACCAUGUCUAUGAAGCUUUUAAAAAGCUAUUUUGUAAGAUAUUAUCAAAUUAAUCUAUUUAAACUUAUUUUUUAUUUAAUUAUAUUAUCUAUGUAACUAUUGGAAUAGAUAUGUAUAUCUAUAAUAGAAAAAUUUGUGAUUCAAUUGAUUAUACCUUGCAAGCAUUGUUCUAAGACUUUAUUUGACAUACACAAUUUUGUUAUGUAUUUUUUAGUUAAAUUAAGGAAUAACCAUAAGAUUAUAUGUUGUGUCAAUAAGCACAACUAUAUUGAUACAAAUUGAGUGGAAAGUGGUUUAAGAAGCAAGUGGUUUCUAUACCAUCUAUAUAUGUUGAAAAUCAAUUAUUUUUUUGGUUUGAAAAUAAAACUCUUAUACAUUUGGCCUUUGUAGAUUAUUCAUAAUUUCAAAUAUUUCUUGUAAUGGCAUUGGUAUAGAAAUAGUAUUUAAAUCUCUUAUAUAGAAGUAUUUUGAUUUAGCUACAUAAACAAUAGUGGUGUAUGGAUCAUAAUACUCUUGGUUGCUGAAGAAUAUUGUGUUAUUAGGAAGCAUUAAUUAGUUACAAUAGAAACUAUACCACAUUGAGUUAAAUUUUCUUAUAGUAAUUUUAGGGUUCUAAAAGCACCAAAAAAUUAAGAAACGUUUAACAAAAAUGUGUCAAGGUUUGUUGGACUAAUAGUACUUAGCCAUCAUCCUUUGGCUAUUUAUAAUAUUUUGUUAUGCCAUAUUACAUAAUUCAUUGAUAUAAUAUAUAUCAACCAAUCUAGUGGCAAAUAUUUUGUAUAGAGUAUAAUCUUGAGGAUUGAAUAACUAAAAUAUUAGAAUAAUAUACUUAGUAGGAAGUAGUGGUUGAGUAUUAUAAACUAACUUAAAGGAAAUAGUCUCUAUUGCAUCUUUAUGUGCAAGUCUAUAAACUUGUUAUCAACUAAGUAAUUAAAAAUUAUACAAAUUUUAAGUCAAGGUGUACAAUUAAAUUAAUAUUUAUUAAAUUUUAAAAAUUACCAUAAUAUUUUUUUUAGAAUUUACUUAGAAUUUUUUUAAUAUUUAUUAAGGAUUUUAUUAUAAAUUUAUUAGAAUUUAGUUAAGAUUUUAUUUAAGCUUUUUUUUUUAGGAUUUAUUAAGACUUAUUUAGGAUUUUUUAUUAUUUUUUUAGGAUUUAUUAGAAUUUGAUUGGGAUUUACUAAGAAUUUUUAUUUUUAAUAUUUCUAAAAAAAUAUUUUUUAUUUCUUUAUUAUAUUUUUAUUUAUUUUGUAGGAUUUUUAUUUUUAAUAUUUUAUAAAUUCUUUUAUAAUUUCUUUAGAAAUUCUUUAAAAUUAUUAUUUUUUUUUUUAUAAUUUUUAUAUGAAUUCUAUUGAAUUUUAUUAAAAUUUGAUUAUAAUUAUUAAGUUUUAAUUAGAAUUUAUUUAAGAUUCUAUUAGAGUUUUAAAAAUUUUAUUAUUGCAAUUCCUAGUUUAUCUUCUAUAUCUAAGAGGUUGGUGCAUUCUCAAGCAAGACUUCACGUAAUUCGACAAUAUCCAUUACAAGGUAAAAAAAAAAAGGGUCUUUAAAAAGAUCUUGUUGCUCAUUUGACUUGAGAACAAUUUCAACUUACUUUGCAAUUGUCUUGGCAUGUGCAAAAUAGUCCAAAAAAAAAGUCCUUUUAGAUAAUCUAUAAGAAUAGAUAUAAGCCUACAAAUAUUUGAAGAAAGAAGUAAAGAGUCUAUUAUUUAAAAAAUAUUAUUCAUUCCAAAAAUAGAUAUAUAUAUAAAUUAUAGAAUUAUUGGCUAAUUUUUAGACUUUCUAUUUUAGUAUCGAAUAGUUUAUACUUUAUAUUUCAAAAAAUAUUAAUCUAAUCUACAUAUAUAAGUUUAUAUAAUUUAUUCAAAAAGAGGUUUUUAUUGAGUAUUAAUAUCUUAUAUUUGAAAAAACUAGCUUUGAUAAUAUGGUCUUUAAGGUAUAUUAUAUCUUGGAUUAUCUAUUUUGUAUCUAAAUCAUUUUUUGUAAUAAUAGGAUUAUUUCUAAAAUAUUAUCCAUUAAAAUUCUUUUUAAAUCUAAAAGAUAAAACUUCACCUUGAAUAGCUUCAUAUAGAUUUAGUUAUAUACCUAUCAGAAGGGUUGCUUGAAGUAGUAUAGAGAAUAUUAGUGGCUUUGGUAGUUGGCUUUAUAGUCAAGGCAUUAUAAUGCUUGGGAGAAAAAAUUAUUGAAGUACAAUAUUUAAAUAUCCCUAUGUUGAAUUUUUUAUGGUUAUUUACUUAAGAAAAAUUAGAUUAGAAUUAAAAUCCAAAUUAUACUAAAUUUCAAAUAUGAUCCAAAUAUAUUGCAAAAACCAUUAAUUAUACAAUCAAAGUGAAUGCUUUUAAAUAGUGCUAUGGUUGCUUAUUUUUCUAAUAAAAUUGACACUAAUUUAUAUGUGAAUAAGUUUAAUGGUGUGCUUGAUUCAUUCCCAUGAAGCUUCUUUACUUAUUUUUGUAAAGCAUCUUGACUCCAUGAAAAAUCUACAUAAUUGGUCUUUUAAUCUUAAAAGAAUUGAUUUAGAAAGUUAUAACUUUCUAUUUGAAUGGUAUUAAUAUAAACAAGAUGUAGAUUAUUAUAAUAUUAUGACUUACCAAAUUUGUAGGAAGAAAUUGAAUCCACUUUUAAAUUAAUUCUAUUUUACAACUUUCAUUUAUAUUGAUCUAAGUGUGCAUUCUAAGGUCAAUUAGUUCCUAUCAUAUAUGGUAUUUUUGAACCUCAGCUUUGUUGUAUAAUAAAAGUUCUUUUGGAUUUGUAAUACUAUCCAUAGAUUCAUUCCAAACUUAGUGAUGAGGGCUAGCUUGGAUAAGUUACAAACAACUUGGUGACUAUGGCAUUACCGAAUCUUAAAAACAAUGGAUAUUUAAAAUCCAUCCUUAUUAUAGGUACAGUGCAUUGUAACUUAAUCUUGCCUCAAUAUACUAUUUUAGCUAUGGUGAGGCUUUACAAAUGAUACUUUUGAAUCAUUCUUUUACUUCUUAUUGAGAUAUAGUACCAAAUAUCAUCCUUACAACACAAACUUCAUAAAAUCUUUAAUUUUACUAAUUUGAGCUAAAGAUAUUAUAAUAUUAUAUUGUGGCUUUGUUUUAAAUGAUUGCAAAAACUUAUGGCUAAUAGUAGUUUUGAGUUUUGAACUAGUCACAAUAUCUUUAAUUUUACUAAUUUGAGCCAUGGAUUUUACAAUAUUAUGUCGUGGCUUUGUCUUAAAUGAUUGCAAAAUCGUAUGGCUAAUAGUGGUUUUGAGUUGUGAACUGGUAUUGUAGAUUUCCUUGCAUCACUACUUUGAUGGCAAUCAUGCCUAUAUUUUAUGUCACCUAUUCUGCCAAUGUUUAGCUCAAAAGGCCAUUAAAAUUAGAUCACUUUCUAUUUCAACAUUGAACCUUAUUAUAUAUUAGAAGCAAGGCAAGAAAUAAACAAAGUUGACCAUUGAAGUUAAUUGCAAUUUUCUAAGACAUUUGAUGAAUGACAAUAGAGUAUAUUCACAAAUAUAUUUUCAUCAAAUAUAUACAUAUAUAGAUGUUAUUUAUUUGUAAUAUUAAAAUUUCAAAUAUUUAAUAAGGUUAUGAAUCAAUAUAAAUAAAAAAUAUUAGAUUUUUAAUUUUAUUUUUUUCUCAAAAUAAAAAAUAAAGAUCAUCAACAUAUCAAUUGUCUUAUUUACUUAUUUUCAAGUUGUUUACUACUACAAAUUUGAAGAAAAUACAUAUAUAUGUUUGUAUCUAUAUAUAUAUAUAUAUAUAUAUAUACAUAUAGUUAUAUAAAUUUCAAGAAUGGCUGAUGAUAAAUAGCAAUGUUUUGAUCAUAUAUGUUUUAAAAAUUUUCACUACAGAUUAUGUAUUGGAGGUUGCAUUUGAGGACUUUUUUAUUGUUAAAUUGGCACUUAUAGUGUUCUCCAUUCUUAAGUUUGCUUAUCAAAUUGUGCUCAAAAUCUCCAAGUCAGAUGUAACUUCUAUAAGUUUAUCCUCCCUGACAAAAACUGUCCUACUCAUUAAUGUUUGAUUUUAAUUUCUAACUACUGUGCUCCAUAAGUGACAAGAUCAAUACACAUUUCUCAAAUACUUUGUUCAUUUCAGGUCAUUAUUUCUGGUUACUAGUUCUAAAACUUAGAUUCUUCAUUGUUUUUUUUGAUAAUUAAGUUUGAGUGUAUAAUAAUUGCACAAAUUGUAUAUCAUUCAUCCAUGAGAAAUUCUUCCAUUGAAAAAUUUCAUGUGUAGGCUAAGUUCUGUUGAUGAUAUGCAAUAGAAAUAUAAAUACAAAUACAUUGGAUAUGGUUCUUUAAGACACAUGCAACGUAAAUUCUAACUUUUAAUUACUUGAAUCAUAACAUGCUUCAAUUGUAAUCUUCUAUUGCAAUUCCAAAUGAAUUGUUUUAAGUUUGUUUUUGUUCUAAAUGAUUGUCAUAUUUAUUUUUUCAAAAUUAAGCAUAUUUUUACAAUUUUUUUUAAAAAAUAGACAAUGUAUUGAAAAAAUCAAUAAUGUAUGUUUAAAAUCUUUAAUGAAUUUUUAGUAAAAAUAUAAGGUUGCAUGCAAGUACAAUUUUAAUCAUAAACUUGGCUUUCCAACUAUUAUAAUUGGUGAUUUUGGAUACAUAUAUAAGUUGCCAAUGGCCCUUGCUAGAUUUUUAACCUAUUUUUUGGAAAAGUUCAUAUAUAUAUAUAUAUAUAUAUAUAUAUUUAGAAAAAAGUUUCAAAAGAUCAAAAAAAGUUAUUUAACAAAACUAGAUAAUGUAUGGCUAUUUAUCAAAAUAUCAGCCAUCAAAAUUGAAUAAAACUAAUUAUUAAUUAAUUUAAAUUAUAUAUAAAUAAAUUCUUCAAUAACUGGAUUGAAAGUUAAGAGAAUAUAAAUAAUGAUACAAUUUCUAAUCUAAAAAUUUCAUCAAAUCAUAUAGAAACUUUUAAUUAUUACAAGAGUAUUUUUUAUUCAUAUUCAUGUUGAAAAACAUGCUGGUUUGGCCAUACUUCAAUACCAAUGAAUAAAACAUGUAUUUUAUUUAUUAUUUUAUACUUUAAUAAAAAUUUAUUUUGAGGAAUAUUAAAUGAUUUUUAUUUCUUCAAAGAAUAAAUUGAGAUCAUAAUUGGUGAAUUUGAUAAAUGAUUUAAUUUUGGUUUUUCUAUUUUUAAAUUUUAUAUACCAUAAAAUUUGAGUUAAUUAGAGAGCAAUGAAAUACAUAAAUUUAGAAUACUUGGUUUGAAAUUCACUAAAAUAGAUCAAGUUUACUAAUAAUUUUAUCAAUUAUUAUCAUACAUACAAAACAGGGGACACAAAGUAUAUAUCUUCAAAUGCUCAAAUAAAAUAUUAGUCUGCAAAAGCGUAAGGUAAAUUAUAGAAUACUAUGAAACAAUAUUAAACAUAAAAUUUACCUCUAAAUUUGUAGAUUUUUACUUUACUUUGAGAUGAAAUUGUUUCAUAAGAAAAUAUUUUCCUUUACUUACACAAGAUAUUCAUUUGGAAACCAGUACAUAUACUGUGUUUUCUAUCACAGUUUGAAAAUCACUUGUGAAUUCCUAUUAGUUUUAUUAUUUGAUUGAUAAUGUAAACUAAAUUCCUCAUGUCUUAUGUUUUGAUUUUGGUAAAUUCUUCAUUUCUUAUAAUUUGAUUUUGGUGUAUUAAUCCUGUCUCUAUUCUUUAUUAAAUUUGUAUAAUUUCAUAUUCAUAUAUAUAUAUAUAUAUAUAUACAUAUACUUAUGUGAAACAUUUGUUCAUUUUACCUCUUAUUUAUAUCCCAGAUUUCAAAACCAAUUCAACUUAUUACACAUACAAUACAUGUUAUAUUAAAAUGCUCUAAAUAAUCAAAAAGAUUUAUCAGAAAAGGAUUUGUCUAUUGGCUGGAUAUUAAACCACAAAUAAUCCCAAUAAUAUUUUUUUCUAUCUAUUUUAUAAUUUUACAUCCAAUAAUGAAAAACAUAUAUGUUUCAAACAAAAUCCCUAAUGUAGAUUUUUAAAUCACCAAAAUUUUAUAUAACUUAUUUGUAAAAAAUAUAAUACAAAGUGAUAUGCUAUUAACUAAAACUAUAAUAGUGCUACCUUAUCAAUCAAUUCAAUGUGUUAUCCAAUGUAUAUUAGGUGUGAUAAAUCCAUCUAACAAAUAUAUAUAUCAUCUUCUCCAUUCUCUUAAUCAAAACUAUUUUUUAUUAUCAUAUUUUUAUUUGAAAUUGCUUCCUCUAAUUUCAGAAGAAUGGAAGCUUUACAAUCAAGAUCCAUUUGAAGCAAUCUAAAGUGAGGUACGAAAGCAAGGCUACAAGGCAAUUGAGAGAGUGAUUCACAAUCCAAUACAUUCAGUUCUACAAAAUUAGAAAAGCUCUCAAAGCUUACAUGCUCAUACUCCAAAUUUUUGAAGUUGUCUCAACCAUCUAGUCUUAAGGUUUGUAAGUUCUUCAAUUUUGCAAAUGAAUGUGGAAUAGCAUCAAGCUCCCCCCAAUGACUGUAAACCAACCUAUUUAAGACAUGGCAUUGCACCAUCCUCCAAUUCUGGCAAACAUGCAAGUCUUGCUCAUUCUCCUAAGUUGAAAUCCACAAUAGCUCCAAAACCACCUUUUCUACCAAAAGAAGUUGGUAGAACCUCCAAAACAUCAAAAUUCAUGAUACACAAACUCACCAAGUUUGGAAGACGAUCUAGAGCUGAAAGUACGACCAACGUUAGACAUGCUAUAUUUAGGGUUUUCAGAAGUGAGAGGGAAUACAAAGAGUCUGGAAGAGAAAAUCAAUCCCUCACAUUUAAGCCAAAGGCAUUCCAAGUGCUGAACAUUUGGGAAGUCCCUCCCAAAGGCCUGUUCUCCACAAAUACUCACUUCCAUAAAUAUACAGAAUUUGCAACCUGGUGAGGUGAAUCAAAUUGGAAGAUAAGUAACUGAGACGCAGACACCAAUCAAGAUACAACUCCUCCAUGCCGGUAAACUUCCCGAUUGACUUUAGGAGUGUCUCUUACCCGUCCAAGACAAAUUGAGUAGUGACGGAGAUUUUAGGUCUCCCACACUCUCCGGCAGCACCUUCAUACAAGUCCCCCUCUGAUCCAGAACGCGGAUGUUACGAAGGUUGUUGAAGAAUUUCUUCGGAAUACACUCCAAUAGAUUUUCUUGUAACAGAAGAACCUCCAGCUCCGGGGCAUCCAGUUUGGCAGGUAGCUCCUUCAGAUUUGUCGACAUGACAGACAACCUCCGAGCGGAAAGUCUAGUCCUCCUGCCUCUGCCUGGAUCCUUGGUAUCAGAACAUCUUCUCCAUUCACGAGGCAAUCCAUCCCUCAUGUCCCGCCCUGCCUCAUACAGGCACUCUCGCUCGGUGACGGCUUUCUCAUGCUGCACUAUGUGGCGCUCCAGGUCCCGAAGAAUAUCGUGCACCAUGCAGUACAAUUCACCAUUUUCAUAGCUUUUGAGCUCAAUCAGCGAGCGGGAGACCAGCACCCCCACCAGCCCACAUGCUUCUAGCUUCGGAGCAUACAACUGACCCACAAUCCCUUCCGCUCUCCACAACGGCAGCAAAUCCUCGUUUACGUCGACUUCCCAAUCCUCUGGAAAUGCAGCGAGUACACAAAGCAAUCCUGCAAUCUUCGAUCGAUACUUCCAAGCUUUUCCAGCUCCGGGGGGACAUGAGAGGUCCCUCGAAACGCUUGCCAGCAGAACAACUUCCAGCUGUUCUCUUCAUCUAGCAACACGACUGCGAGCUUCGUCACAUGAUUUUUGUCCAACACCUCCUCUAUGAGAGUGGUGACGAGGAUUUUGCACCCCGCUCUUAAGGGGACCAAAGAUGUCACCAAGCGUAGCAAAUCUUCUUUCCAAACAACGUCCUGAAUAACCAGCAUGUUCUUCUUAUCCUUGAGCUCAUUACGUAGCUAUGCUAUCAUAUCUUUCAUGGGAAUUUUCCCGCCAACCUCUGAGGGACCAGUGAUCUUCAUUCCGAAGCCUAGGAAGAGACUCCGCACUGACAAAUCUCCACCGACAAAUCUCCAGCUCCUUCUCGUGCUUGUGGUCGUUCCAUUCUGGAAGCGCCACCUCCUCCAACAUCACCAACAAAUGUUUUUCCAGCACUGGUUGCAGAACGGUUAAUGCCAGAGCUUCCGCCAUUUGUAGAUGGGGCACCGUCUCAGAACUCGAUGUUGUAGAUGAAGUGUUCGAAGUAAACGAAUAAAAAUAAUCGGUGCAAUACCAAUGUCAACAGCCAGGCAAGACAAUAUUAUGUGCCACUGGAAACCUCUCGUAAGCGAUAAUGAGUCGGAUCUGCGUUUGAAAGGCCGAUCAAAUGAGUAAUUGGAACCUGAGUUGUACAUGAACAGAGAAUAUCAAAGGCGAGCUCGCGACAUCACACAUGCCCCAGCGGCAUCGAAGUGGAGGUCUGACCAGGGCAAGUUGCGGACAACUUGGUGACUAUGGCACUGCAAAGCCCAAAGAACGGUCUGCAUUUAAAACCCAUCCUCGCUGAAGUAACGUUGCAUUGUGACCUGGUCCUGCCUAAGAAUGGGACUCCAGCCAUGGCGGGGCCUUGCAAAGAGUGCUUUUGAAUCAUUCUUUCACCUCUUUCUGAGUUAUCGCAGCAGAUAUCCUCCUUACAACAUCGACCUCACAUCAUCGUCAACAGUGCUGAUGCUUUCUAUGUACUUUGCAGAAUUGUGUUGUUGCUUGGUGUCAAGUGACUGCAAAAUCUCAUGGGUACUGGUCGUUUUGAGUUGUGAGCUGGUGUUGGAGAUUUCCUUGCAACAGUGAUUCGACGGUGUUCGUGACUGCGGUUUUCGUCACAGGGUCCGCUAAUGAUUAGAUAAGAAGGUCAUUAAAAUUAGAUCAGAAGGUCAUUAAAAUUAGAUCAUUUUCUACUUCACCAAUGAACCUUGUGACAAGCAAGGCACGGUAUAAGCAAAGUUGACCAUUGAAGCCAUUCACAGUUUUGUAACAAGUUUGGUGAAUGAGAAUAGAGCAUACCAGCUAAUAUAUUUUCAUCAAACAUAUACAAAUACAGAUAUUUUCUAUUUGAAGCAUUCAAAUCUCAAACACAUUACAAGACUAAGAAUUGUUUUGAGUGAAAAUUAGACAUACACUUGUUCUUUGUUUUAGUAUAUUGUGUUAAAAAGAAGCGGAUAAAGAUCUCAAAUAUACCAAUAAUCUAGUUUACUUAUUUUCAAGUUGUGUACUACUGCAAAUUUAAGGAAUAUACAUAUAUAUAUAUAUAUAUAUAUAUAGAUAGAUAUAUUACAAAGUGCAUACACAUGUGAAGUAUAAACAAUAUAUUUAUGACUAAAGUAUCAGACUUGAAUAUUUAUAAAGAAAAUUUGCCACCACAAAUAUAACAUAAAGAAGGAUUAGACUUGUUGGGUUAUUUGCUUCAAUAUUGAAACCAUAAAGUGGAAUAAAUAUGACAUGAGGUACAAAAAGGCAAGAAAUGAACAAGAUGGUGUCAUGUGGUAACACGACUAUAUAGUGAAAAAUAAAAAAUAUGGAUGUUAUUAUAGAAGUUCCUAGCAAAAAGAUGUAGUAGAAAAAUAAGGAUAAAUGAUAGAAAGGUAAAAAUAUAUUUAAUCUUAAUCUUGGUGUUUUAUAGAAGGAACUUGUUUUUACUUUAUAGAGGCAUAAAUGACCCAAAUCAAAGUAAAUGAGAUAAGAAAUUAAUAUAGGCAUGUUGAGGAGAGAAUUAACAAUAGGAUAAAGUAAAACUUACCUCAAAUUACUAAAAAUUGACACUCAGAGAAGACUAGUUGUCAACUUAGAUUAAAAUCAGAUCCUAAGGCAUAUAACUACAUCUACAUAGUAACUUUGAGAUUCUUUUAUAGAUUAGAAAGUGAGAUUUGAGAGGAGACUUGAAAAUAGAUUUUUAUGCAUUGCUUUUAUAUUAAUUGAAUUAAUAUUGAAUUUUUGAAGAAUUUUCAAAGUUAGUGAUAUUCUCAGUUGAUUUAGAUUUUAAAAACUAAAAAUAGAUUUAUAAAUUUGAGAAUUUUUUGAAUUUUAUAGUGUAUGUAUAAGUAAAAUUUUAGGCAAUACAUUAUGCUAAUUGUGAAUGUAUAUGAAAAUUUUGAUAUCAAUCAAAUAGUUAGAUUGAAGUGUGUGAAGGUUUUUGUGGGUUGAAAUUUCAAAAAUUAAAGUUUGAGCAUCUAUGAAUAUUUAUAAGAUUUCAAUGAUCUAUCAAUUGGAUUGUAGUGAAUUGUUUUAGAUACAAGACUCAAUUUUCAAUGUUUAAGUGAAAUUUGAGAGUAAUUCAAUAGUUCAAGAAGGAGGUAUUAGUGAUAGAAGUUAAGCAUUUAAGUUAGAAUAAGAGGCCACCUAAUACUCAAUUGGAUUAUCUUUUAUUUCUCUCAAUUGGUAAGUGCAAUUGAUUUCAUCUUUCUUGUACUUGUUUUUAACCAAGAUAUUAAAAAGUAUGCAAAUUUUGAGUUGAUAUCAAUAGUUUGAUCAUUAAUUGUUGAAAUUCCAUUUUGCUAUAGAAUUUGGUUUAGGAUUUAUCUGCAAUUUGGUUAGAACUUAGGAUUUGGUCUAGGCUUUGGUUAGAAUUAAGGUUUACUUGGGAUUUGAUUUAGAACUUGACUAAGGUUUGAUUAGGAUUUGUCUAAGAUUUUUCUAGGAUUUCAGAUUUCAUUAGGAUGUUAUAAGAAUUUAAUCUAAGAUUUGAUUAAGAUUUAAUUAAAGUUUCAAUUAAAUUUGAUUAAGUUUCAAUUGAUUUUUCUAUUUAUAGUAUUUAAAAUGAUUCUUUGUUAUUUCUUUAAGUUUUAUUUCUUAUAUUUUUUUAAGUUUAUUUUUAUUUUUUUAAAGGUUUAUUUUUUAUAUUUCUUCAAGAAUUCUUAUUAUUUUUGUUUGAGAUUAGGUUAGGGCUUUUUUGUACUUCUUUUAUAACUUCUUUUAAAUUUAUUUUGGAUUGGUCAAAGUUUAAUCAAGAUUAUUAAGGUCUAUCUAUUCUUAUUUAAGAUUCUAUUAGACUAGAUAAGAUUAUUCUUACAUUUCUACUUACUUUUCACAACUAGGUAUUCAAUGCAUUCUUAAGAAAGAACAUAUAUAAUACAAUAAUAGGCCUAUACCAAUGUUCUAUUGUAGUUUGGCUACUAUGUGAAAAUAAUGCUCAAUUAACUAAUAUACAAUUUAUUAUACAAUGUAGUGAGAACUUUAUUAUUAGAUUUUAAUUAGUUAUAAAAUGUGAUUAGAAUGUUAAUUUGAAGUAGUUAGUCUAACAUGACUACUAUUGAGGUCGAUUUUAUAUUUAUAAUAGUUUUUUUUUUUUUUAAUUAGAGCUAUCUUUAUUAGACAUUGGUAAUUCUCAAAAUCUUGUUUUAUUUCUUUUAUUUAGUAUUCAAGGCACAUAUUAUGUAAAACUUAUUAAAAAAAAGAUUAGACAAGGAUUUUUGUAUUAAAAGUGAUAGUUAGGCCAUCCAUAUGGAUGAAUGGGGAUAUAUAAUAAAAAUCUCCAUUCUUAUUUGCCAAACGUCAUGCCCAAUGGACUUCAAGGAUGCUACUUGAGAUCUUAUUAUAUUAAUUAAAUAUAAAUCUUAUAUGAAAAGAGAUUGAAGAAGGAUUUUGGUAGCAAAAAAGGUAGUUAGGGCAUCCAUAUGAAUGAAUGGAGAUGGAUGAUAUAAAUCUCCAUUCCUAUUAGUCAAAAAUCAUAACCAAUGGGCUUCAAGGAGGUUGCUCGAGGCCAUAUUAGGAAUUAGGAUUAGUCUUUCAAGGGGAUUUGAACAUCAAAGUCUAGGAUUGGUAAAUUUAGGUUUUUGGCUAUAGUUUUGGUUCAAAUUUUGAGUCAUUUGGAGUUUCUAUGAAGGAGGUAUAGGCGCUUAAAAUCAAGAUGUCAAUUUUGUACUUAUUGUCACUCUUUUGGAUAUAACGCAUGCAUAUCGAAUGCAAUUAAGGAUCGGUGACUAGGAUUGAUGAGAGCACUUUUUCAACUAUACUUCAUGCAUACUACUUAAUGAAUUCUAAGCUAGAAUAUAGGAGAUAUUAAAAGUUGAAGUCAGCACUUAGAAUCUAAGAAGGAGUAAGUGACGUGAAUUACUAGUGGUUGUGGUUUAAGCUAUAUCUUGUGCAAUUUGAGAAGAUUUUAGCUCAAAAUUUUCUUAAAUUUAUAUUUUCAUGUUACUAAAUUUUAUACAUAAGAUUUUUGAUAUUUUAAUUUUAAAUUUGUGAGAUAUAAAGAAAAUAGUAUUUAGGUGUUUGUCAAUUAGGAUUUUAGAGCACUUCCUAGGGGUUUUCAGUUGCCAGAAGAUCAUUAGUGAAUUUAUAGUUAAUUUUUUUUGAAGUAAAGCUUAAGAAUAAAUUCUAUAAUAUCUAUAAAUUUGACAAAAAUAAAAUAGUUGGAUCAAGAGAUAUGAAUUUUUGAAGUUUGGGAAGAAAAAAUUCUUUGCAAAAAUAUUAUAUUUUGAAGAGAUUUUAUUAUAAUUUGAAUAUUUUAUACAUAGUAAUGAGAUUUUUGGAAGUCAAGACUUUAUUUAUUUUUCCAAGAUAAUUUGCUAUAAUAUUUUUGAAGUGAGAUCCUCAAAACAUGAUAUUUUCUUCACCCUUUCAUUUGUUAGCCGUGUUACAUCACGACAUCCACCCCCCUUGAACCUAUGCAUCCUCUGAUAUGCACCAAGUUCCUUCAUUAUAUUGAUAUUGAAUGUUCUUUAUCUUGGUCAAAUUCUUGAUCUUUAUUUUGCUCUUUUUCUUCCAUCUCAAUAUCUCCUAAUAGAUUUUGUUCUUCAUCAAAACAAAUGUCUUUACCUCUUUGAUUAAACAAUUUGAUUUGCUUGCCUACUAUUGGUAUCUUUAAAUCUGUACCAUCCAGUUCUCAUAAUAAGUAUGUUCCAUUCUCGUGCACUUGUUUGACAACAUAAGGUCCAAACCAUCUCCUUGUAAAUUUCUUUGUCGUACUAUGUUGGUUGUCCAAACUACUAUCAUAAACCAACACCCAAUCACCGUUUUAAAUUGGUUUUGGACGCAAUCGAUGUUUUUUGUCAAACCUCUCCUUGUUUUUUUCUCUCGCUUCUUUCAACUUUCUCAUAGCUACUUCAAUAUCCUUGGGCCUUCUUUCAAGUUGUCAAAUUCGUAAUGCGAAUAACUCUUCUCUUGUUAAACUAUCUUUUCAAAGUAAUAUAGCCUAUGUUGAUACAACUUCCUCUAUCGGCAUUACCGAUUUUUGACCAUACAUCAAUUCUGCUGGCAUGUAUCAUAUAAUUGUACUAUGAGUUGUGCAAUCCGUCGAUAAUGCAAAUGGUAAUAAUUUAGGCCAAUCACUUAUCUUGCCUUUGCAUGCUUUAACCAAUGCUUUAAUAAUCGGAGAAUGUCCACGUUCACUCUUGCCAUUCCCUUCCGGAUUAUAUGUUGUUUUUAAUGCAAGUUUAAUAUCCAUCCUCUCAAAGAACUCUCGUGCUUCAUUUGCAUCCAAUUCUCCUCUAUCUGCAGUGAUUUUUCCAAUACAUCCAUACCGGCAAAUAAUUUCUUCUAAUAUAAACCGACAUACUCCUUCCGUAGUCUUUGUUGAAAGUGUUCUUCCCUCUAUUUGAUUUGUCAAAUCUUCCCGAGCAAGUACCAAAUAUUUUCUCUGACCAAAUCCCAUUGGCAUUACAACUAAAUCAACCACCCAUUUAUAAAGAAUUACUAAUGGAUAUGUAAGAUGCAAACCAUCUCAAUGAUGAAUAUUUGAAUAUAUUUGGCAAGUUUCACAAGAUCCUACAAAAUCUGCCACAUCUCUGUACAUGCCCUUCUACCAAUAUUUUUCUUUCAACUUAAUAAAUGUUGCCUAAAUACCUCAAUGCCCUACCCAUAAACUUUUAUGAAAUUUCUUAAUAAUCUUUUGUUGAGCUUCUAAACCACAUAUCACUCGUUGUGGUACUUCUCCUCUCUUCUUUGGAUGCUUCCAUAAAUAUUCAUUCCGUAAAAAAUACCCAUAGGCUUUCUUUUGGAUUUUCUUAAAUUCUUGAUCUAUCCAACCAUCUUGUCGCUUUAAUGUGCUUAAAUACUCCCCAAUGUCUUUCCAUUCUUUUUCAUAUAGAUCUCUUGAAAAUAUUUCUAAUGGUAUAUUCAAAUAUAUACUUUCUUCCUUUGAUAAUGCAUUAGUAUAAAAAUUUGUACCCACAUCAUCUUCUAAAUCUAUCAUAUCUUCUUCAUCGUAAUACCUUGCUCUUGAUAACAUAUCUGCGACUGAAUUUUCUUUUCCUAUAAUAUGUUUAAAUUCCAAAUUUAUAGAUUUGAUAUAUGCCAUCCACCUUAACAUAGCAAUAUCAGGAGUUAAACAACUUGUAAUCAUACCCAAUAAAGGUAGACAAUCUAUUUCUACAACUACUGAUGCAUCAAUCAAAUACUCCCUUUCAUUUUUCAUAGCUAUUACUACACCAUAUAAUUCUCUUUUGAUUUGUGCAUAUAUCCUUUGUCUAGCAUUCAAAACCUUUGUUCCAAACCUUACUACAUAUCUAUUCUCUUGUUCAUUAUCUUGUCUAAUUGUCCAACCUAUUCCAAUUGGACUUGCAUCAACUGUUAAUAUUACUAGCCUUCCACAUUCAUAAUUUACUUUCUUCAAAGUUGGAGGUGAAGAAAGAAAUUCUUUUAACUUUGCCAUAUCUUUUCUUUGUUCUUCUUUCCAUUGAAAUUUUUGAUUCUUUCGUAACAACUCAUAUAAUGGAUCUGCUAUAUAUGCAAAAUGAGAUAUCCAUAUAUGAUAGAAAAUACAUGCUCCUAAAAACCUAAUGACUUCCAUCGUAUUUGCACACUCUUUCAAUUUUUUUAUAAUAUCAACUUUUUUCCUACUUGGUUUGCAUCCAUAUAAACCACACAUGUGCCCUACUACCAAAACUUCUUUUAUUCCAAAUAUUGAUUUUGUUCCCAAUAAGGUUAAAUGAACUUCUUCUAGUCUCAUCAAAAUCUUCUCACAAUCAUCAAUAUGAUCUAUCACAAACUUCCUACAUCCCUUUGAAUCAAAUGUCUCAUCCUUUCUUUUUUCUUCAUAUCCUUUAAUUGGCACAUCAUCUAGAAAAGAUAUUGUUAUUCUUGAAAUAAAAUCUUUUAGCAUCUUAUGUAUUCCAUUCAUCAUGUGUGCCACAAAAUUUGUAGCCCCUUGUAGUAAUGUACACAUUCUGACCAAUCCCAAUGGUGUCUUUAUAAUUGUCAAAUCUCUACUUUGUAUUACCAAUUGAAAUUGAUCGUUUCCUGAAUAAAGAUCUCCUAUAGAAUAAAUUGAUCUCCCUGCAAAUGCCUCUGCAAACUCAUCCACAAUUGGACUUGAGCCCAUAUUUUUAAUAGUUAUUUUAUUUACCAGUUGCAUAUCUUGAAUAAACCUCAAUGUUCUAUUUUUCUUAGAUACUGUGAACUACCGAUUGGAAUAUGGUACAAUAGAUGGUUCUAAAAUUUCCAUCUUAAUUUUUUCAUUGAGUAAUUCAACUAGCUUUGGCAAAUGGGCCUUUGGAACUGGAAUUGGCUUCAAGUUCCAUGGUUCAUGCGGAAUUAUAAAAAUAACCAUAGGUGCUAUAAUACUCGGAUCAAUGCACCAUAUUUCAUGUGAUUCAAAUGCAAAUGCUUUACUAUGUCAUGAAAAUAUUUCUUUAAAACAUCUCUCCUCAUCUCUUGUCAAAAAUUUAUCACAGCCAAUUUUCAAACCAUCUAACGUUAAAUAAUCCUUGAAUUCAUGACCUAUUUUCUUUCGAUCUCUUAAGUUAGGUUGCAUAGAAGCUCUUUUAAUCCUUUCUUCAAAAUCCGUUGGUAGUGGCAAUGUCACUAGUUUAACCUUUCUUGCAAUAGUCUUAUAUUUUGUGUUCACUUUCACUUCAUAUCUAUCCAUAUAUUCUUUUAUUCUAUCAUAAAAUUUCUUAGAAUGGAUAUUUAUUAUUUUAUCACCUCUUUCAAAAUCUCUAUUCAAUAAUAUUUAUAAAUCAUCCAUAGUAUCACUAAAAUAAGAUUCUUCAAACAUCCUUGAUAUGUAUUCAUCUUCAUCAAUCAUUCUACAUUUUUUUAAUCCCUGUUCUACAUUCUUAACAUUUCUCUUAUCUAUCCUACUAAAAUUAUUUAUGUUUUUGAAUAAAAUAUAUCCGUCUCGUGAUAAUCCUACAAUAUCUUCAUCCUUUCUAUUAGGCAGGAAGCCUUCACUCUUUUUACCAUUGCAAUCUCACUUUAUAAUGGCGUCUAGUAAAAAUCCUUUGAGUCUUCAAGAUCUUCAAAUUCUUUAUGUAUCUUUGGAAAAGGAUGUUCUCUCAAACUAUCCUUAUUUCUUCCAUGAUUUGUACAAACUGUUAAAAAUUGCACUGCCCUCUUUCCAUCUUGACUUCUUAUCCUUACAUAAUCUGAUCCAUCAUCCAUAACCUUUGUCUCCAUUCAUGUAGUAGUAAUAUUUGGUUGUCCUAAUAUAAUAGGAUAUGUAGACAUAUCUUGCACAAAGAAAUUUUGUUCAUGAAUAACAUCUUCUAUUGUAACCUUGAUAUUUGGACAAGCUCCAUACAAAUUUCCUUUUGAAUUAUUUGUUGUUCUUAUCACCUACCCAAGCUCAAUAUCAAUAGGCCAAUUUCUCCUUUUAUAUAAUUCUGUUAACAUUAAAUAUAUUUCAGAACCAUGAUCAAUCAAUGCUACAAUUGGUUUUUCAAAAUCUCCCAAUUUUACUAAAGUUUCCGUAGUAGCCCUUGCCCAAUGACUCUGAGAAUAAUGACUAGAAGCUUGAAUCAUAUCUUCUUUUCCUAUAAAUUUGACUCGUGAAACAUUUCCAAUAAUUUGUAUUUUAAUUUCUUCAUCUUCAUUGCUUCCUAUUGCCUUUGUACCUUAUGCAUUUGAUGUCAUAGUAUUAUCAAUAGAUUGUCAUUUUUUUUUAUUGUAUCAAUAAUAACUUCAUAAAAUUCUUGUUUUACAAUUCCUAGAAUUUCACCAAUUGUAAAUUCAACAUUUCUACUUAAAAUCCACUCCUCCAAUACUAUCUUCAAAUCUGUAGCAGCUUCAAUAUCUAAUUGUAAUUUAUAAGCAGGAAUCUUUGCUUUUUCUUUCACAAUCUCCCUCUCCUAUGUAGAAAUAUUCUCUAUUGUCUCUUCAUGCAUAGGAUUCUUCUGUUGUCGAGUUUUAUCUCUCCUUGUGAUUCUUUUUGAUGGCCCUUUAUGAUUUUCGUCUUUCUUUCAUUUUUCUUCUAUUAAUGCUUCAUGUUGACUCCUUGCAAUAUGAGCAUGAACUGAUAAUCUAUCUACUUGAUCAUCUUAUCUAGUAAUUUACUGAAUAUUAUUGCCAACAUAUUUUAGAUCAUCUCUAGUAAAAUUUUUCUUUUUAGCAUAAUUCAUUGUACUUGACCAUAAAGAAAUAGAUUCUCUUGAAUACUCAAGAUUUAUACUUAAGAAUUUGCUUGGAUUUGCCUCCAUCCAAAAUAUUGAUGCUUCAUUUCUUGAAGUUGUAUGCACCUUGGAAGCAUCUCCUACAAACACCUUCAUUCUCCAUUUACCAAAAAUUUUCUCUAAUUUUUCUCUACUCUCUUUUAAGUAUAUCAUACCAUCUUUAAAAAAAACAACUCCUUUACGUAGUGCCUCUAAAAAAUCCUCACACUCCGUUCUUGAAUGAUCUAUGCUAUCACACCACAUGCACCUAUGCACCAUACCUUCUAUUGGUCUUAAAUUUUGUCUUGUUGAUAUUCUUGAUGAUUGAUCCAUCUCUUCAAGUUUUAUAAAUUUAUUUGCAAAUCUCUCAUCUUUUGUAUGAUUUCAUCAAUAUCCAUUUCUUCUCUCUUUGAUGUAGCCAUUGAAAGUUGAAUCGUAGAUGUAGGAUAGAUAGCAGGCAUUUUUCUUUUAGAUGUUUGCAAUGGUCUUUGAAUUUCCAUCCUAUCUUUUCUCCUUUCUCUUUUUGCAAGCACCUCAAUUGUCUCUUCUACUUUCUCCCAAUUUUUUGUCAAUCCUUCAACUUCUUCUUUAUCUUCCAAUAAAAUUUCCAACUUCUCUUGCAACUCUCUAUUAGCCACUUGAAGGAAAAGUUCCACUUUACUUGGAUCUAAUAAUUACCUCUCUUUCUUAGAUAAAUAAGAAUAUUAUUUUUCAAACUCCCUUAGUAACUCCGUUGCUAGUAGAUCCUUCUUAGGCCUUUCAAUCCAUUCAAAAAAUGACUUUUUUAUAACUCGGUCACUAUCUUCUAAAAAAUGUUCAUCCUUUAAUGCUUGAAAUAAUUUUUCCCAUGAACCUCCGGAAUGUCUUAUAAUGGACUUCACAUGAUUUCUUAUUUCUAUUGUAGUAGCUAAUUCAAAUAGCUGAACUAUCUCCUUCUCUGAAAGACACUUUAAUUCCAUUUCCUUUACGUAACACCUUAAAUAUUUUGUAAUAUCCUUCCCUUCAAAUUGAUCAAUCUUGUCUACAACAGCUUGUAAUGCUUUGUCUGCCAUGCCCUCUUUGCGAUCCUUAACCUGUCAUUGUUGCAUAAAUAAGGCUAAUGCCUCAAACAUGCUUGCACAGUUGGGAUCAAAAUAUAUACCUUGUCUUUCAAUUGAAGCUCUACUUCCAACUCCACUUGAAGCACCACCAAAAGCUCUUCCUUCCAUUCUCUUGCCUUCCUUCUCCAUAAUCCAAAUAGAUCAAAGAAACUCCAAAUACCUCCCAUCUCAAGUUUUUCACAUCGGGUUCACCAAAUAUGUUGUAUUACGUGAAGUCUUGCUUGAGAAUGCACCGAGCACCUGCCUAUGGAAGGUAAAAGAAAAUUACAACAAAAUGUCCUAAAAAUCCAAUAGGAUUAUAGAAAAUUUAUAAUUAAAUGUUAACAAUCAUAAUCAAAUAUUAAGCAAGCUCAAUUAAAUUUUAUUGAAGUUAUAAAAGAAACACAAGGAAAUCCUAAAGAAAAAUAAAAGAAUAUUAAAGAAAAUUUAGUCAAACCUUAACAAAAAUCUAAUAGAAUCUUAAAUUCUAACCAAACCCUAAUCUUAAUCUAACCUUAAUCAAAUCCUAGACAAACCCUAAACCCUAAACUAAAUCCUAAUCAAACCUUCAUCAAAUCUUAAACCUUAAAUCAAUUCCUAAUCAAAUCCUAAAUCAAAUCCUAAAUCCUAAUCCAAAUCCUAAACCAAAUCCUAAACCAAAUCCUAAAUCAAAUCCUAAACCAUACCCUAAUCCUAAAAAAUUCUAAACCCUAAAUCAAAUCCUAAUCAAACCCUAACCCUAAAUCCUUAUCAAAUCCUAACUCAAAUCAAAUCCUAAUCAUAAAUUUGAAAAUUAAAUAACUAAAGAUUGAACCGUUGAUUCUAAUUCAAAAUUUUCAUACUUCUUGGAGUUUAAGUUUGAAACUAGUACACAAAUUUUGAAGAAAAUUGCACUCACCAAUUAGUCGAUGAUCUCAAAAUUCCGCUCGGAUGUCGGCUGGUCUCUCCUUCUCCAAUCUUGAUGCCAACUUCCAGUGCUGAUAUCUUUCUUUUCUACCAUUCAAUUGUUUCCAAAUUUUAUUUUCACAUAGAAAAUCAAGUCUUCUAC